This 470-nucleotide ribosomal RNA is filed under the name uncultured bacterium. RNAcentral's name for it is "bacterial SSU rRNA". It matches the Rfam family "Bacterial small subunit ribosomal RNA", at positions 43 to 524 of the family's 1533-position model. The record is from RNAcentral.
CAGGCCUAACACAUGCAAGUCGAGCGGGUAGCAAUACCAGCGGCAAACGGGUGCGUAACGCGUAAGCAACCUGCCCACUACUGGGGGAUAGCCUUGCGAAAGCGGGGGUAAACCCGCAUGGUCCUUUUCUUUCACCUGGGAGGAUAGGUAAACAUUUAUGGGUAGUGGAGGGGCUUGCGUCUGAUUAGCUAGUUGGCGGGGUAGGGGCCCACCAAGGCGACGAUCAGUAGGGGUUCUGAGAGGAUUGGCCCCCACAUGGGUACUGAGACACGGACCCAACUCCUACGGGAGGCAGCAGUAGGGAAUAUUGGGCAAUGGAGGCAACUCUGACCCAGCCAUGCCGCGUGCAGGAUGAAGGCGCUCAGCGUUGUAAACUGCUUUUAACUGGGAAGAACGGCAGGGGUGUGCCCCUGUGUGACGGUACCAGUGGAAUAAGCACCGGCUAACUCCGUGCCAGCAGCCGCGGUAAU